RNAcentral lists this unclassified non-coding RNA (1574 nucleotides) under uncultured fungus. Its description in RNAcentral is "sequence contains 18S rRNA gene, ITS1, 5.8S rRNA gene, ITS2, 28S rRNA gene". The stretch from base 598 to 1574 matches the Rfam family "Eukaryotic large subunit ribosomal RNA", at positions 1 to 961 of the family's 3401-position model. Lineage: Eukaryota; Fungi. The record is from RNAcentral.
GGAAGGAUCAUUAAUGAUGUUAUAAAAUCCGUCCCCUACAGUGCUGGCUUAACCUGCAUGUGCACGUUGGGAGGCGGUAUUAUAAUUAUUCAUCUCCCUUUUGUGAACUCUUUGACCUUUGCUGGUUUCGACUGGCAGAGGUAUUUUACAUAAACUCGAAUGUAAUGAAAUAUGUUAUAAUGUGCGCAAGCACUGCUAAUUAUAUACAACUUUCAACAACGGAUCUCUUGGCUCUCGCAUCGAUGAAGAACGCAGCGAAAUGCGAUAAGUAAUGUGAAUUGCAGAAUUCAGUGAAUCAUCGAAUCUUUGAACGCACCUUGCACCCUUUGGUAUUCCAAAGGGUAUGCUCGUUUGAGUGUCAUUGUACUCUCACACUUCUCUUCUGUUGGUUGAGAAGUGGUGGAAUUGGAUGUUGCCGCUUCAAUGUCAGGCUCAUCUUAAAUUGCUUAGUGCAACUUUGGAUUAGACACUGUAAUACUUAAUUUUACUACACAGCGUGAUAAGUAUCUUCGCUAGUGUGCCGCCCAAUUGCGGGAGGGUGUCUUAAUCGAGGGCUCUGUGCUUCAAACUGUCCUUGGACAAAUAUCUCUGACAAAUUGACCUCAAAUCGAGUAGGAUUACCCGCUGAACUUAAGCAUAUCAAUAAGCGGAGGAAAAGAAACUAACAAGGAUUCCCUUAGUAACGGCGAGUGAAGAGGGAAGAGCUCAAAUUUUGAAUCUGGCGUCUUUGGCGUCCGAGUUGUAAUCUAGAGAAGUGUUUUCCGUGAUGGACCAUGCAUAAGUCUUCUGGAAUGGAGCGUCAUAGAGGGUGAGAAUCCCGUUUGUGGCAUGGACUCCCGUUACUUUGUGAUACACUCUCAACGAGUCGAGUUGUUUGGGAAUGCAGCUCUAAAUGGGUGGUAAAUGCCAUCUAAAGCUAAAUAUUGGCGAGAGACCGAUAGCGAACAAGUACCGUGAGGGAAAGAUGAAAAGCACUUUGGAAAGAGAGUGAAACAGUACGUGAAAUUGUUGAAAGGGAAACGCUUGAAGUCAGUCGCACCCUUUGGGACUCAGCCUAAGCUUCUGCUUGGUUUACUUCCCGUUGGGUGGGUCAACGUCAGUUUUGGUCAGAGGAGAAAGACUGGAGGAAGGUAGCAGCAUUCGUGCUGUGUUAUAGCCUCUUGUUGUAUACUCUGGCUGGGACUGAGGAACGCAGCGCGCCUUUACGGCCGGGGUUCGCCCACGUACGCGCUUAGGAUGUUGGCAUAAUGGCUUUAAGCGACCCGUCUUGAAACACGGACCAAGGAGUCUAACAUAUGCGCGAGUGUUUGGGUGUUAAACCCGGACGCGAAAUGAAAGUGAAUCUUAGUUGGGAACAUGUAAUGUGUGCACCGACGCCCGGAGCGGACCUUUUGUGAAGCAUCUGCGGUAGAGCGUACAUGUUGGGACCCGAAAGAUGGUGAACUAUGCCUGAAUAGGGUGAAGCCAGAGGAAACUCUGGUGGAGGCUCGUAGCGAUUCUGACGUGCAAAUCGAUCGUCAAAUUUGGGUAUAGGGGCGAAAGACUAAUCGAACCAUCUAGUAGCUGGUUCCUGC